Molecule: ribosomal RNA, 1349 nt
Filed under: metagenome
Description: bacterial LSU rRNA
Rfam family: Bacterial large subunit ribosomal RNA
Source: RNAcentral
UGAGUGCGAGCUGCUACGGCAGCGAAGUUGGUGAUGUCAUGCUUCCAAGAAAAGCCCUAUACCCGUUAAGGCAUCAUGGCCUGUACCCGAAACCGACACAGGUGGGGUGGUAGAGAAUACCGAGGGGCGCGAGGUAACUCUCUCUAAGGAACUCGGCAAAAUGGCCCCGUAACUUCGGGAGAAGGGGUGCCACCGCAAGGUGGUCGCAGUGAAGAGGCCCAGGCGACUGUUUACCAAAAACACAGGUCUCCGCUAAGUCGCAAGACGAUGUAUGGGGGCUGACGCCUGCCCAGUGCCGGAAGGUUAAGGAAGCUGGUCAGCGCAAGCGAAGCUAGCGACUGAAGCCCCGGUGAACGGCGGCCGUAACGAUAACGGUCCUAAGGUAGCGAAAUUCCUUGUCGGGUAAGUUCCGACCCGCACGAAAGGCGUAACGAUCUGGGCGCUGUCUCGGAGAGAGGCUCGGCGAAAUAGAAUUGUCUGUGAAGAUGCGGACUACGUGCACCCGGACAGAAAGACCCUAUGAAGCUUUACUGUAGCUUGGUAUUGUGCCCGGGCUCGCAAUGCGCAGGAUAGGUGGGAGGCUUUGAUCAUCGGCUUGCGGGUCGAUGUGAGCCAACGGUGAGAUACCACUCUUUGCGAGCUAGGGUUCUAACGGCCACCCGUCAUCCGGGGGCCGGACAGUACCUGGUGGGCAGUUUGACUGGGGCGGUCGCCUCCUAAAAGGUAACGGAGGCGCGCAAAGGUUUGCUCAGGCUGGUUGGAAAUCAGCCGACGAGUGUAAAAGCAGAAGCAAGCUUGACUGUGAGACCAACAAGUCGAACAGGGAGGAAACUCGGCUUUAGUGAUCCGACGGUUCUGAGUGGAAGGGCCGUCGCUCAACGGAUAAAAGUUACUCUAGGAUAACAGGCUGAUCUCCCCCAAGAGUUCACAUCGACGGGGAGGUUUGGCACCUCGAUGUCGGCUCAUCGCAACCUGGGGCUGAAGUCGGUCCCAAGGGUUGGGCUGUUCGCCCAUUAAAGCGGUACGCGAGCUGGGUUCAGAACGUCGUGAGACAGUUCGGUCCAUAUCCGGUGCACGCGCAGGAAUAUUGAGAGGAUUUCUCCCUAGUACGAGAGGACCGGGAGGAACGCACCUCUGGUGUACCAGUUAUCGUGCCAACGGUAAACGCUGGGUAGCCAUGUGGGGAGUGGAUAACCGCUGAAAGCAUCUAAGUGGGAAGCCCACCUCAAGAUGAGUAUUCCCAUGGCGUAAGCCAGUAAGGUCACGGGAAGAACACCCGUUGAUAGGCUCUAUGUGGAAGCGCAGUAAUGCGUGAAGCAGAGGAGUACUAAUAGACCGAGGGCUUGACC